ACUCAAAUGAAUUGACGGGGGCCCGCACAAGCAGCGGAGCAUGUGGUUUAAUUCGAAGCAACGCGAAGAACCUUACCUGGGCUUGACAUGUGCCUGACCGCCGUGGAAACACGGCUUCCCUUCGGGGCAGGUUCACAGGUGGUGCAUGGCUGUCGUCAGCUCGUGUCGUGAGAUGUUGGGUUAAGUCCCGCAACGAGCGCAACCCUCGUCGUAUGUUGCCAGCAUUUAGUUGGGGACUCAUGCGAGACUGCCGGUGACAAACCGGAGGAAGGCGGGGAUGACGUCAAGUCAUCAUGCCCCUUAUGUCCAGGGCUACACACGUGCUACAUUGGCGCGUACAGAGGGCAGCGAUACCGCGAGGUGGAGCGAAUCCCACAAAGCGCGUCUCGGUUCGGAUUGUAGGCUGAAACUCGCCUACAUGAAGGUGGAGUUGCUAGUAAUCGUGGAUCAGCACGCCACGGUGAAUACGUUCCCGGGCCUUGUACACACCGCCCGU
RNAcentral lists this ribosomal RNA (496 nucleotides) under uncultured bacterium. Its description in RNAcentral is "partial 16S ribosomal RNA". It matches the Rfam family "Bacterial small subunit ribosomal RNA", at positions 899 to 1397 of the family's 1533-position model. The record is from RNAcentral.